GACGAACGCUGGCGGCGUGCUUAACACAUGCAAGUCGAACGGAAAGGCCCUGCUUUUGUGGGGUGCUCGAGUGGCGAACGGGUGAGUAACACGUGAGUAACCUGCCCUUGACUUUGGGAUAACUUCAGGAAACUGGGGCUAAUACCGGAUAGGAGCUCCUGCUGCAUGGUGGGGGUUGGAAAGUUUCGGCGGUUGGGGAUGGACUCGCGGCUUAUCAGCUUGUUGGUGGGGUAGUGGCUUACCAAGGCUUUGACGGGUAGCCGGCCUGAGAGGGUGACCGGCCACAUUGGGACUGAGAUACGGCCCAGAAUCCAACGGGAGGCAGCAGUGGGGAAUAUUGCACAAUGGGCCGAAGCCUGAUGCAACAACCCCGCGUGCGGGAUGACGGCCUUCGGGUUGUAAACCGCUUUCGCCUGUGACGAAGCGUGAGUGACGGUAAUGGGUAAAGAAGCACCGGCUAACUACGUG
RNAcentral lists this ribosomal RNA (468 nucleotides) under uncultured bacterium. RNAcentral describes it as "partial 16S ribosomal RNA". It matches the Rfam family "Bacterial small subunit ribosomal RNA", at positions 28 to 507 of the family's 1533-position model. The record is from RNAcentral.